RNAcentral lists this ribosomal RNA (254 nucleotides) under uncultured bacterium. Its description in RNAcentral is "partial 16S ribosomal RNA". It matches the Rfam family "Bacterial small subunit ribosomal RNA", at positions 524 to 776 of the family's 1533-position model. The record is from RNAcentral.
GACGUAGGGCGCGAGCGUUGUCCGGAUUUAUUGGGCGUAAAGAGCUCGUAGGCGGCUUGUCGCGUCAACUGUGAAAACCCGUGGCUCAACCAUGUGGUCUGCAGUCGAUACGGGCAGGCUAGAAUUCGGUAGGGGAGACUGGAAUUCCUGGUGUAGCGGUGAAAUGCGCAGAUAUCAGGAGGAACACCGGUGGCGAAGGCGGGUCUCUGGGCCUUACCUGACGCUGAGGAGCGAAAGCGUGGGGAGCGAACAGG